CGCACAUUGCGCCCUUUGGCAUUCCGAAGGGCAUGCCCGUUCGAGCGUCAUUUAAACCACUCAAGCCUCGCUUGGUAUUGGGCGUCGGGACCCUCCCGCGCCUCUAUUUCGCCGGCCGGCCGUCGAUCGACGUAGCGUUGUGAAAUAUUUCGCUAUAUGUAAUGAGACGUGCGCCGACUGUCAAGUCUAUUUCUCGGGGACGCGCUCGCGCGUUUCGUACCGGUUGACCUCGGAUCGGGUAGGAAUACCCGCUGAACUUAA
Molecule: unclassified non-coding RNA, 261 nt
Filed under: fungal sp.
Lineage: Eukaryota; Fungi
Description: partial contains 5.8S ribosomal RNA, internal transcribed spacer 2, and large subunit ribosomal RNA
Source: RNAcentral